RNAcentral lists this ribosomal RNA (465 nucleotides) under uncultured bacterium. RNAcentral describes it as "partial 16S ribosomal RNA". It matches the Rfam family "Bacterial small subunit ribosomal RNA", at positions 338 to 795 of the family's 1533-position model. The record is from RNAcentral.
CCUACGGGAGGCAGCAGUAGGGAAUCUUCCACAAUGGACGAAAGUCUGAUGGAGCAACGCCGCGUGAGUGAAGAAGGGUUUCGGCGCGUAAAGCUCUGUUGGUAGUGAAGAAAGAUAGAGGUAGUAACUGUCCUUUAUUUGACGGUAAUUACUUAGAAAGUCACGGCUAACUACGUGCGAGCAGCCGCGGUAAUACGUAGGUGGCUAGCGUUGUCCGGAUUUAUUUGGCGGAAAGCGAGUGCAGGCGGUUCAAUAAGUCUGAUGUGAAAGCCUUCGGCUCAACCGGAGAAUUGCAUCAGAUACUGUUGAACUUGAGUGCAGAAGAGGAGAGUGGAAGUCCAUGUGUAGCGGUGGAAUGCGUAGAUAUAUGGAAGAACACCAGUGGCGAAGGCGGCUCUCUGGUCUGCAACUGACGCUGAGGCUCGAAAGCAUGGGUAGCGAACAGGAUUAGAUACCCCAGUAGUC